This 252-nucleotide unclassified non-coding RNA is filed under the name uncultured Paenibacillaceae bacterium. RNAcentral describes it as "contains 16S-23S intergenic spacer region". It matches the Rfam family "Bacterial small subunit ribosomal RNA", at positions 524 to 776 of the family's 1533-position model. The record is from RNAcentral. Lineage: Bacteria; Bacillati; Bacillota; Bacilli; Caryophanales; Paenibacillaceae.
UACGUAGGUGGCAAGCGUUGUCCGGAAUUAUUGGGCGUAAAGCGCGCGCAGGCGGUCCAUUAAGUCUGGUGUUUAAGGCUGGGGCUCAACCCUGGUUCGCACUGGAAACUGGUUGACUUGAGUGCAGAAGAGGAAAGUGGAAUUCCACGUGUAGCGGUGAAAUGCGUAGAGAUGUGGAGGAACACCAGUGGCGAAGGCGACUUUCUGGUCUGUAACUGACGCUGAGGCGCGAAAGCGUGGGGAGCGAACAGG